CGGCGGAACGAGACAAGGCAGAGUAGGAGCGUAAGCUUUGCCGAGAGUUGUCGUAGGGAUAGUCUGCCGUUGUCCGGCCAAUCCCUUAGGAAUUGUAGGACGACUUCGACGUCCCAUAAGCGAGAGUAUUUGGGUUGAGGGGGUCUCUGCAACCGAAUGCCCCUCAGGAGUCUGCAGACCAUGGGGUCUUUGCCUACAGGGAUUCCCAUGACCGGGUCGUGCGCCGCCGAAAUCGCGGAGCGGACAACGUUGAGAGAGCGAUAAGAAAGGCCUGCGGAAAAAAGAAAGGAAAGAAAAUUCAAAAUGGCCGUCACAGGGGCAGUAAAGGGAUCGAUGUUCCGUUCACUGCACCAAGAGGACCAGGAAGACCAAGCUGAUAGGUAACAUCGCCUGGUACCUGGAGCCCAUGAGUCCCAAAUGAGAUCUCUAGCUGCCUGCGAUAACUCGCUGGUUUGCCAGGCACCCCUGAACGAGUCCAAGCCACUAACACGAGACGGUCUUGUAGAACGAGAGGAUGAGGGUUGUCUUUCGGGUCCGUGAGGAGUGUUGGAUAGGAUGGUAUGAGGAGCGGAUCCAUGAAGGACGAUGCCAGGAGGUCCGGGAACCAGGGUUGGCUCUGCCAUAGGGGAGCUAUGAGGAGAAGAGACCCUCGUUGGGUCUUCA
This is a non-coding RNA of Pelobates cultripes (western spadefoot toad), 663 nucleotides long. Lineage: Eukaryota; Metazoa; Chordata; Amphibia; Anura; Pelobatidae. The record is from the annotation of a GenBank genome assembly.